CCUACGGGUGGCAGCAGUGGGGAAUAUUGCACAAUGGGCGAAAGCCUGAUGCAGCAACGCCGCGUGAAGGAAGAAGGGUUUCCGCUCGUAAACUUUUAUUAACAGGGACGAAAGAAAUGACGGUACCUCAAUAAGAAGCAUCGGUUAAGUCGGUGCAAGCAGCCGCGGUGAUACGGGGGAUGCGAGAGUUAUCCGGAUUCAUUGGGUUUAAAGGGUGCGUAGGCGGAGCGUUAAGUCAGUGGGAAAAUUGAGGGGCUAAACCACAUCCCGCCAUUGAUACUGGCGCUCUUGAGUGGAAGAGAGGUAGGCGGAAUGCGUGGUGUAGCGGUGAAAUGCAUAGAUAUCACGCAGAACCCCGAUUGCGAAGGCAGCAUGCCGGCUUCCGACUGACGCUGAAGCACGAAAGCGUGGGGAUCGAACAGGAUUAGAUACCCGAGUAGUC
RNAcentral lists this ribosomal RNA (442 nucleotides) under uncultured bacterium. RNAcentral describes it as "partial 16S ribosomal RNA". It matches the Rfam family "Bacterial small subunit ribosomal RNA", at positions 338 to 795 of the family's 1533-position model. The record is from RNAcentral.